GACGAACGCUGGCGGCGUGCUUAACACAUGCAAGUCGAACGAAGUGGCGAACGGGUGAGUAACGCGUAAUCAACCUGCCCUUCAGAGGGGGACAACAGUAGGAAACGACUGCUAAUACCGCAUACUGAAGGAGGGGAUUGUGUCUGAUUAGCUAGUUGGAGGGGUAAAGGCCCACCAAGGCGAUGCUCAGUAGCCGGUCUGGGAGGAUGAACGUCCACAAUGGGGCUGGGAACCGGCCCAGACUCCUACGGGAGGCAGCAGUGGGGGAUCUUCCGCAAUGGACGAAAGUCUGACGGAGCAACGCCGCGUGAGUGAUGACGGCCUUCGGGUUGUAAAGCUCUGUUAAUCGGGACGCGGUACCGGAAUAGAAAGCCACUGCUAACUACGUGCCAGCAGCCGCGGUAAUAC
Molecule: ribosomal RNA, 408 nt
Filed under: uncultured bacterium
Lineage: Bacteria
Description: partial 16S ribosomal RNA
Rfam family: Bacterial small subunit ribosomal RNA
Source: RNAcentral